Oncorhynchus tshawytscha (Chinook salmon) is the source of this 159-nucleotide long non-coding RNA. RefSeq lists it as uncharacterized. The record is from RefSeq and is a predicted model, not a curated record. The transcript has 3 exons. NCBI's taxonomy places the organism in Eukaryota, Metazoa, Chordata, Actinopteri, Salmoniformes, Salmonidae.
GUAAGUUCUGGUUGUCCCUUCUCUUUCCUUCCUGUGUAAGUUCUGGUUGUCCCUUCUCUUUCCUUCCUGUGUAAGUUCUGGUUGUCCCUUCUCUUCCCUUCCUGUGUUCACGGUUAGUAUUUCUUUCCUUGUUUAUUGUUGGUGGAGAUCGGAAGAGCA